This 200-nucleotide unclassified non-coding RNA is filed under the name soil metagenome. RNAcentral describes it as "partial contains internal transcribed spacer 2 and large subunit ribosomal RNA". The record is from RNAcentral.
GUUCGAGCGUCAUUUUCACCAUCAAGCUCUGCUUGGUCUUGGGCCCUGCCGACGACGGCAAGCCCUAAAACAGUGGCGGUGCCCGAAGGCCCUGAGCGUAGUAACUUCUCUCGCUACAGGCGCCGACGGGACGCUGGCCAACAACCCCAAUUUUUCAAAGGUUUGACCUCGGAUCAGGUAGGGAUACCCGCUGAACUUAA